Molecule: long non-coding RNA, 1256 nt
Organism: Pistacia vera
Lineage: Eukaryota; Viridiplantae; Streptophyta; Magnoliopsida; Sapindales; Anacardiaceae
Exons: 5
Source: RefSeq, a predicted model, not a curated record
UUUUACAGUAAGUAGGCGAUAAUUGAAGAGAGUUCAAUUUCAAAUUGUACCUAUUCUUGCUAAUUUUUCCUCCUUGAACUGCAGAAAGCUCGAAUUUUGAGUCUUCAAGGUAGGCUUCCACUGGAGUUGGUGAACCUUCCCUAUCUAGAAGAAAUGUACUGUUCAUGUGCCUUCAGCAACGGUCGUUCCUUAGAAGCGUUACACAAGAUGGAACGGGAGUUCCAGGUGUGUGAGGAUUUCGCGGUUUGGCAUGGCAUCGUGUAUCUGUGUUUGGAUGCUCUAUUGGCUGAAUCCUAACACCUACCCUGCGUCCAAAUAAGAAUAUUAUCAAAUUUAAAUAAGAAAAAAGUUGAAGACAUAAAAGACCCAUUUCUCACCCGUAUCUAAUUCCCUAUCUCUCUAAUCCGGUCUCUUUCAUUUCUCCGGUUCUCCCCUUCAAUCUUAGCCUGAAUCAAGUGAAUCCGACAUGAAUCAACCCUUUCCAACGGUUACCGACUGAAAUUUCCCGACCCGGCAACCUUCGCUUAGUUUCUCUCAAUUUUACUCGCCACAACAGUUCUCCGGUUCCAGUUAACGGCUGACGGAAAGUUCCUGUGGACGGAGGGAUUUCAACAGAAGGAGAUUCUCCGUUUCACUGUGGACAGUAAUAAAAUUAAAAUCAGAGCAAUUAUAGAGAAAGAAGAUGGAAUCUACCGUGGUGGGAGAAGUGAUGGUUUAGUGAGGAAGGAUUUUGUUUUCUGCUUCUUUCACGAGAGUCUCGAAGACUAUUGUGCCAAAACCUCCGUGAAUAUCUUGAUUUGAAAUUAUCUGAAGCUCCUUUUGGCUUGCGAAUUGGUUUGAUCUUGAAGCUGCAGGCAUUGAUAGUUAGAAGUUGCAAGCAUGAAGGGACUUUGUGGGUUUUGGUGAAUCUGUUAAAAGAAAUCCCAAUGUUGAAAGAGAUGUUAUAGUUGGAGUUUUAGAGAUUGGAAUCUGGCCUGAAUCAGAAAGUUUCAUUGACGAAGGUUUCAUCUUGCUCCCAAGAAGUGAAAAGGUUCUUGUGAAGGUGGCAAAAAACUCACUUGCAACAAGUAAUGUGAGUUGAACAUUGUGGUAAGGAGAAGUCUUCUUGGGUAGAUUUGAGUUUCAUGUGAAUUUACGCUUAGUUUUUUUGUUUCCCUUGUAUGUAGUAUUGUCUAUGUAAUAUGAUUGCUGGUAUAAUUUGUUCUUGCAGCUCAAAUACAGAAUCCAGACAUCUAUUAGAAGCAUCUUUUUGCUCA